GUGGAGCUUGCUCCACGGAUUAGUGGCGAACGGGGUGAGUAACACGUGAAUAACCUGCCCUCAAUUUCGGAAUAACCCAGGGAAACCUGGGCUAAUACCGGAUACGUAAACCUGUGGCAUCACAUGGUUUUGGAAAGUUUUUCGAUUGAGGAUGGAUUCGCGGCCUAUCAGCUUGUUGGUGAGGUAAUGGCUCACCAAGGCGACGACGGGUAGCCGGCCUGAGAGGGUGGACGGCCACACUGGGACUGAGACACGGCCCAGACUCCUACGGGAGGCAGCAGUGGGGAAUAUUGCGCAAUGGACGAAAGUCUGACGCAGCGACGCCUCGUGAGGGACGAAGGUCUUCGGAUUGUAAACCUCUUUCAGCAGGGACGAAGCGAAAGUGACGGUACCUGCAGAAGAAGCACCGGCUAACUAUGUGCCAGCAGCCGCGGUAAUACAUAGGGUGCAAGCGUUGUCCGGAUUUAUUGGGCGUAAAGAGUUCGUAGGCGGUUUUUCGCGUCGGAUGUGAAAACUCAGGGCUCAACCCUGAGCCUGCA
This 539-nucleotide ribosomal RNA is filed under the name uncultured Actinomycetes bacterium. RNAcentral's name for it is "bacterial SSU rRNA". It matches the Rfam family "Bacterial small subunit ribosomal RNA", at positions 73 to 625 of the family's 1533-position model. The record is from RNAcentral. Lineage: Bacteria; Bacillati; Actinomycetota; Actinomycetes.